Molecule: long non-coding RNA, 349 nt
Filed under: Gallus gallus (chicken)
Lineage: Eukaryota; Metazoa; Chordata; Aves; Galliformes; Phasianidae
Description: long non-coding RNA NONGGAT001473
Source: RNAcentral
ACGGCGAGGCGCUGCGGGGAAGAUGGCGAGGAGGCCGCGGGGGGAGCGCGCAGGAGGAUGGGGCGGGCACAGGGACCCGGGGAGUACUGCAAUCAAGAUGGCUACAGCAGGACUCUACAAAAUGGCUGAUGGGAGCAAUUAUGCAGCUAACUGCUUUCCUGCCAGGAACAUUUUGCGCAACAGGAGAGAGGCUGGGCAUUGCCUGCUGGCACACAUAGCCACCCCACAGGCCUGGGCUGAGCAAGGAAUCACCAGGGAGGCACCAGAGAAGAGGAGGAAGCCUCCAAGUGUUGCCUCUGCAGAAGAAAACGAUGAAGACCAUAUCCUGGAUGAGCCAUUUCUGGUGAGU